Molecule: long non-coding RNA, 1165 nt
Organism: Mauremys mutica (yellowpond turtle)
Lineage: Eukaryota; Metazoa; Chordata; Testudines; Geoemydidae
Exons: 3
Source: RefSeq, a predicted model, not a curated record
CAACUGACUGUUGCUUGCUAGAUAUUCUCUUUCAGUCAGUAAGAAAUACUCAUAAUAUUUCCCCCUUGUUUUCCCAGUAUUAUUCCUGAGGGCAUGGCCCUUUCUCUCAGUAUGGAAAGUCUGCAGUUAAAUAGGGUUUUUAUCUACAAUCUACAAAACUGAGGAGCAGCACAACUAUGAGAUGAAGAAUUAAAAGGAAAAAAAGAAACUGAAGAUGCCCUUUGCUGUAUAGUUGCAAGUUUCCACUUGAAAACUAAUUAAGGGCUACCUGUAGAUGUUGUUUAUCUAGACUCUUGAAGAUUAUCUACAGGUAUUUGUCAUUUGAUCAAAAACAUGAGCGUCAUCUCAGAUUCUGUGACAGCAGGACCAUUUUAGGACUGAAAAUGUUUUGAAAUAACUCCUUAAAAUUCCAUAUUUUGGUUGAAAAUAUUGACUAGUAUUGGAACAUAAGAAUACAAGAAAGAAGAUGAAAUAGCCUUUACUGAUAUGUGUAAUAACAAUUGAGAAUAUAAGUUAAAUAAAAUUAGGUUUUACUGGACUGGCAUUGUAAAUUAAAUCUAAUCAGUGGUGCUGGCAAUGCCAAUCAAUAUUAUCUGUUAACUUUGUAUAAUACUACUUUAAAUACAAAGCAAUCUAGAUGCUAGUCUUUAUUAUUAAGCAACGAAAAAGAGCUGAGCCCCAUUAAAAGGCUUCCAUUGAGAUAUGCUGGUAAAUUUGUAAAAUUGCCUUUGUUCUGUAUAAUUUAGAAUAGACAAGUUUGACCAAAUCUUUUCUCAGUAAUGCUCACUAUUUAAUGUUAGUGUCAGCAUUACAAUUGCAUUAAAUGGCUCAUUAUCAAAGAAGUCUGGUUUAUGAUUCUUUGACAAAAUCAUAAACAAACGUGUAGAUGUUCAAAAAGAUAUAAUAUAGAUGCCAUGAAAGAAAAAAACACUCAUAAAUAUGUAUUUUGAUUAAAUAAUGCAUUCUGAUUCCCAGAAGAUUUUACUGUUAAAGUAUUUGAGUAUAUAGUGUAAACCAUUAUGUUUUAUCUGCUGUUAGUUGUCUUUACUAUAAAUGAGUUGAGGAACUUUGAGGGUAAAUGCUCAUUGUCUUUGAAUUGUCUGGCACUCAUAGAACCCCUAAUUCAAUGUGAACUCAUAUAGGACUUCUUAUCAUUUGACAAACC